GGGGAAUAUUGGACAAUGGGGGCAACCCUGAUCCAGCGACGCCGCGUGUGUGAAGAAGGCCUGCGGGUUGUAAAGCACUUUUAGUGGGGAUGAAAAGCACAUCACUAACACUGGUGUGUCUUGACCUAACCCAAAGAAAAAGCACCGGCUAACUCUGUGCCAGCAGCCGCGGUAAUACAGAGGGUGCGAGCGUUGUUCGGAUUUACUGGGCGUAAAGGGCGCGUAGGCGGCCACCGCAAGUCGACUGUGAAAUCUCCGGGCUUAACCCGGAAAGGUCAGCCGAUACUGCGGGGCUAGAGUGCAGAAGGGGCAACUGGAAUUCUCGGUGUAGCGGUGAAAUGCGUAGAUAUCGAGAGGAACACCUGCGGCGAAGGCGGGUUGCUGGGCUGACACUGACGCUGAGGCGCGAAAGCUAGGGGAGCGAA
This 425-nucleotide ribosomal RNA is filed under the name uncultured bacterium. RNAcentral's name for it is "bacterial SSU rRNA". It matches the Rfam family "Bacterial small subunit ribosomal RNA", at positions 356 to 772 of the family's 1533-position model. The record is from RNAcentral.